This 323-nucleotide ribosomal RNA is filed under the name Salmonella enterica subsp. enterica serovar Virchow. Its description in RNAcentral is "partial 23S ribosomal RNA". It matches the Rfam family "Bacterial large subunit ribosomal RNA", at positions 1 to 351 of the family's 2925-position model. Lineage: Bacteria; Pseudomonadati; Pseudomonadota; Gammaproteobacteria; Enterobacterales; Enterobacteriaceae. The record is from RNAcentral. RNAcentral also lists the same sequence under 1 other name.
GGGUUGUGAGGUUAAGCGACUAAGCGUACACGGUGGAUGCCCUGGCAGUCAGAGGCGAUGAAGGGCGUGCUAAUCUGCGAUAAGCGCCGGUAAGGUGAUAUGAACCGUUAUAACCGGCGAUACCCGAAUGGGGAAACCCAGUGUGAUUCGUCACACUAUCAUUAACUGAAUCCAUAGGUUAAUGAGGCGAACCGGGGGAACUGAAACAUCUAAGUACCCCGAGGAAAAGAAAUCAACCGAGAUUCCCCCAGUAGCGGCGAGCGAACGGGGAGGAGCCCAGAGCCUGAAUCAGCAUGUGUGUUAGUGGAAGCGUCUGGAAAGGC